This is a long non-coding RNA of Bacillus rossius redtenbacheri, 1175 nucleotides long. RefSeq lists it as uncharacterized. NCBI's taxonomy places the organism in Eukaryota, Metazoa, Arthropoda, Insecta, Phasmatodea, Bacillidae. The record is from RefSeq and is a predicted model, not a curated record. The transcript is spliced from 2 exons.
CCCCUUCUCAGUUCCAAGUAAGACCAAUGACCGGUCGUAACCCCCUGGGCAACCGUGACCGUCCUCAAGGUCUCCUCGCAAAAAACGAGUGCGCCAAAACUGAUCGCAAGCGCUACCUAGCGACCAAGUCGCGAACUUCUCCGCUAGCCUACCCUCUAGGGCGCCAGAGAGCAGCACCUGCUUUCCCUUGAGUUAUAUGGACGCCGUGGGCGAGUCGAUUGUUUUCAACUCAGACCCCUCCGACAGAGUUCUCUACUGUCGCCUAGUGAUGCCAACUUCAAAACUCCUGCCAGAGUUUUUUUUUCGCCCGCAUUCGGGCAAGUUCGGAAUCUUUCGGCGGCCCAGACCCCCUCCACCUGUAAGAGCCGGCGCCCCUUUUUAAUUACGAGACGCGGUUUGCCGCGAGACAGAUCAGCGCGCGUCACGUUUGCAGACAGAUCUCCGGCGAGCUCAGAAGACUCUGGAAAACUUCAUCCGACCGCUAGCGACUAUGUAAUCGUCCUAAAUAAGGGAUGCUAUCCCUCAACUAAAUUCAAGUAGAUUAGCCUGUCUGCAUAGUGUUAGCAAUUUUUUUGUUUUGAAAUUUUCCCUUUUAAUUUUUUUUAACUAUGAAGAAAUCAUCCGCGCCCAGCCGCGCAAAUCGCGAGCUACGGACCAUGGCUGACUCCGCGAUGGCAGCUUGAAGGCAACUCCCCUGUUUUGUCAAGGGUUCGACCUCCCAGCGAUGCACAUAUUCAGCUAGAUUCGAGAUCCAGCAACUACUGGUGGACGAAUUGUCCACCAGUAUGUUUUUCGGCAGUCCGAGAUCCAUCCAUUAGAAGAAGCAGCUUUCUUCCAUUCUACAGUUCGGCAUUUUUAACUCCACACCUGGAAGACUCGGGUGAUAUUGUUUCUAUUUCUAUUCACCCCCCUUUUUUAAAGACAAAACAGCGAUAAGUGACUAUCCACUUAAUCCACUGAUAUGGUAAACUAAUCAGCGACAAAUUUAAUGUAGUAGAACAUUGCAAGUUGUAAUAAUGUAUCAAUACAAUGUACUUUGUUUUAAAUAAUCGCGGGCCGGCCCCUUUUCGUUUUUCUUUUGUUUUUUUUAAAAAAUCUUUGAAACUUGUUAAAACCUUUUGUAUGUAAAGUAAUGGAAACAAAAUAAUUCAUCAGGGCAAAUAAAACAGGGAAAC